GCGCCUGUGGCGGACCCGGCACGGACCAUCUUAUCGCUUCGCAGGCAGCAGGUCCGUGUACGGUCUGGUACUUUCCGUAAUUUUACGGAAUUUAAUGAUUCC
This 102-nucleotide small RNA is filed under the name uncultured Saccharofermentans sp. Its description in RNAcentral is "RT-5 RNA". It matches the Rfam family "RT-5 RNA". Rfam says of the family: Clostridium (Firmicutes). The record is from RNAcentral. Lineage: Bacteria; Bacillati; Bacillota; Clostridia; Eubacteriales; Oscillospiraceae.